This is a non-coding RNA of Tinamus guttatus (white-throated tinamou), 596 nucleotides long. The record is from RefSeq and is a predicted model, not a curated record. NCBI's taxonomy places the organism in Eukaryota, Metazoa, Chordata, Aves, Tinamiformes, Tinamidae.
UUGGAGUGCAGUGGAGACAUAAGAAUAAUUUUAAAUGCAAAUUAAAUUGUGGGGGUAGCAAAGAGAACAGAUAAAAGACAGUAAAACAAAGCCCUUCACUUUCCUCAAAUUAGCAGGCUCAUGUAAUAUAUAUAUAAAAAAGCGGCACUACUCAGAUCUCUGCUAAGAGCUUUCAUUUCAUCAUAAUAUAAAACAGCAGAUCCGUCACCUUUCUCUGUUCAGUAGUCUUGAUUUUAAGGUUGAAGUGAAAAUUAGAAGCUGCUUGUUCUGGCUCACAGACUGGGGUUGCAUUUGCUUAGUCUUAUUUAUGACAGUAGGAUGGAAAGAGGUCAGUAACACUGGAAUCUGACUGAUCAUUGAUUCAGGAGUUUUGUUUGCAAACACAAGGUCCUUGAAAAUGGACUACUUUUUGGAUGUCGAGUCUGCUCACAGACUGUUUUACAGUCAAGGGGCUCAAGCUCGUCGGGCAACUCUUCUCACUGUGCCCACACUGAUGACAGCAUCUUCGGAGGAGGACAUAGACCGGAGACCCAUCAGAAGACUUCGGUCUAAGAGUGACACCCCCUACCUGGAAGAGGCAAGGAUCUGCUUCAACC